This 426-nucleotide ribosomal RNA is filed under the name uncultured bacterium. RNAcentral's name for it is "bacterial SSU rRNA". It matches the Rfam family "Bacterial small subunit ribosomal RNA", at positions 354 to 796 of the family's 1533-position model. The record is from RNAcentral.
GUGGGGAAUCUUGCGCAAUGGGCGAAAGCCUGACGCAGCAACGCCGCGUGCGGGAUGAAGGCCCUCGGGUUGUAAACCGCUUUCAGCAGGAACGAAUCUGACGGUACCUGCAGAAGAAGGUCCGGCCAACUACGUGCCAGCAGCCGCGGUAACACGUAGGGGCCAAGCGUUGUCCGGAUUUAUUGGGCGUAAAGAGCUCGUAGGCGGUUCGGUAAGUCGGGUGUGAAAACUCUGGGCUCAACCCAGAGACGCCACCCGAUACUGCUGUGACUCGAGUCCGGUAGGGGAGUGGGGAAUUCCUGGUGUAGCGGUGAAAUGCACAGAUAUCAGGAGGAACACCGGUGGCGAAGGCGCCACUCUGGGCCGGUACUGACGCUGAGGAGCGAAAGCGUGGGUAGCAAACAGGAUUAGAAACCCGAGUAGUCC